This 216-nucleotide unclassified non-coding RNA is filed under the name plant metagenome. RNAcentral's name for it is "partial contains small subunit ribosomal RNA and internal transcribed spacer 1". The record is from RNAcentral.
AAGUCGUAACAAGUUUACGUGAGGUGAACCUGCGGAAGGAUCCAAUUGAUUCGAAAAAUAAAAGGGGGGUUAGUUCAGUGCUGGCCUCUCGGGGCACGUGCACGCCCAAAUCCACAACACACCUGUGAACCCACCGUAGGCCCUCGGGCUUAUGUAUAUCAUAUACUCUGAUCAUAGAAUGUAAAUAUUUUGCCUUAAAAACGCAAUGAAGUACAA